Molecule: ribosomal RNA, 586 nt
Filed under: uncultured bacterium
Lineage: Bacteria
Description: bacterial SSU rRNA
Rfam family: Bacterial small subunit ribosomal RNA
Source: RNAcentral
CCGGGUGAGUAACACGUAGGUAAUCUACCUUUGGGUGGGGAAUAACAACCGGAAACGGUUGCUAAUACCGCAUAAUGCAGCGGCACCACAUGGUGACAGUUGUUAAAGCGGGGGAUCGCAAGACCUCGCGCCUAAAGAGGAGCCUGCGGCGGAUUAGCUAGUUGGUAGGGUAACGGCCUACCAAGGCAACGAUCCGUAGCCGGCCUGAGAGGGCGGUCGGCCACACUGACACUGAAAUACGGGUCAGACUCCUACGGGAGGCAGCAGUCGGGAAUUUUGGGCAAUGGGCGAAAGCCUGACCCAGCAACGCCGCGUGAAGGAUGAAAUCCCUCGGGAUGUAAACUUCGCAAGAACGGGAAGAAUAAGUGGAAGCAAAUACCUUCCAUGAUGACGGUACCGUUUGUAAGCUCCGGCUAACUCCGUGCCAGCAGCCGCGGUAAUACGGGGGGAGCAAGCGUUGUUCGGAUUUACUGGGCGUAAAGGGCGCGUAGGCGGCCGUGCAAGUCAGUUGUGAAAUCUCCGAGCUUAACUCGGAACGGUCAACUGAUACUGCUCGGCUAGAGUGCGGAAGGGGCAACUGGAAUUC